Molecule: long non-coding RNA, 1282 nt
Organism: Halichondria panicea
Lineage: Eukaryota; Metazoa; Porifera; Demospongiae; Suberitida; Halichondriidae
Exons: 4
Source: RefSeq, a predicted model, not a curated record
AUACACACUGUAAAAACAAACGUGUUACCGUAACACACGUGUAGCGUGUCACAUGUGUGCUAAAUUGCUCUACGUAUGUCAAAUCAGCACAUUAGUAAGUACAUGCGUGCUAUUUUAGCCCACUGGUACCACUUUAACCCAUGUGUAUGUGUGUUACACAUGUGCUAAUUGACCCAACGUGUGUUAUAUAAGCAUAGUAGUAAACUACAUGUGUGCUAUUUCAGCACUGGUAUUACAGCAAUAGAAUGUGGUAUAUUACGGUUUAUAAUCAAGUGUAGUGAUAAUUGUAGUGAUAUUUGAGCCAUUUCUGAGAGUGAGUAGCAUCACUAACUUGAUUAGUAAAUGAUUAUGGCAUGCAUGUGAGCACUGAUCUAAGUCAACAUAGGAUCAUAUCUAAUUAUAGAUAUCUUGCUGACAGGUGGUACAGUCUUUAUCCUUCAUAAAAGAGCAAGAGAAGACCAUUGAGUUCUCAUUUAUAAAGUAUUUUGUUUGUUGGCUGUUUUAAAUCUUUUUUUAGCUUUUCUAUAUAAAGCCCAGUGCAGAAGUUGCUACGCGCAUGCGCAGUUUCUAGUUGCUAUAGCUCCUUCGCAGCUGGAUUCUAGAACAAAAGCAGAAGAGUCAAAAGCAGUCUAAAAGAUACCACCAAGGACCAAGAGUUGUUUAAAAGCUGAAAGAGCUGAAAGAGCUGAAAGAGCUGAAAGAGGAUGGUGUCAAAGCAAGUGCUGCAGCUUGUAGCCUAUACUACUAAGAUACUACUAGGAGACUACACUAUAGAGUGUCUAAAAUAAGGAGGGACCAGGAGUUAUUUAAAAGCUGAAAGAGGAUUGUUUCAUGACCAGACUCGACUGGAGUAAAGCAAGUGUUUUUCUAGGCAUUGACGGAAAAAGGCUAUGGUAUGACUUUGACGAGCUGUAUAUAGUUCCAACCCAGUGGACAGGCUUCAGCACCUUGUUCAUGUUCACACCCAACUGUGCUUCGGCACUCAACUUGAUAUGGCAUGGCUCCAUCCUGAAAUUUCAUCACCGAAGACGAUUGCCAAGAAGGCCGUACCUGCCUCUGUUGUAGCUUCUAACACUUUAUAACGAAGAAGCAGACAAUGGUACUAUUAAUUUGCUGCAACAAUACUCUGUACUCAUGCAGGACAUACUUUAUGUUCCUGUACAUUUUCAAUCACUUUUUCUGCUGUUUCAUCGAGUGUACGUAUAAUUUAAUUGCACCUCCAUUUAUCUUUUCACAGUCACAUGCCAACAACGUCACUAUUAAUAAUUUAUUGCAUGCUACA